This is a long non-coding RNA of Gasterosteus aculeatus aculeatus (three-spined stickleback), 1987 nucleotides long. NCBI's taxonomy places the organism in Eukaryota, Metazoa, Chordata, Actinopteri, Perciformes, Gasterosteidae. The record is from Ensembl.
CCUGCUUUGAGUCUCACGGAUGCACAUCACAGGAAGCUCCUGAUCUCCCACGAAAGUUGUUUCUAACACCUUCUCCCUCUGCUCCCCUUUGUUCUCCGCAAUGAGCACCUAUGCUCUGCCGCCGCCUCCGCCAUUAGAGAACAAAUGUACCGAGCAACGGCAAUUUCUUUGAGGAGGCAUCGCCUCCUGCUGCUCCAGAUUACAGCUCAUUAGUAGCGGCGUCGGAGAGACACAGCCCACACCGCGGCUCCCCCCCGAUCCCCUCGUCGCUUCCUGCAAUCCCGGUGUGGCGGGACACCGUGACAAAAGCGGCGGAGGUGGUGGUUGUGACGGUGGGGUGUUUUGGACGGGGGGCAAAGACAAGCAGCGAGGGGACUCACAGUUCACCGUUUGCCAGCUGCUGGUGGAGAUGCGAAGAAGCGCUUCGGGGGACUGGAAUGGCGUUGAAGUGAAAGGAAUGCCAGGUUGUUGUCCAAGAGGACGGCGUGUCGCGUUGCUGGCUUGAUCGAGGACCACACGGCGCUGCUGCUGGUUGCCAGAUUUUGGAUUAUCCCGCCUAACAAUGGGCCAAAAGGACCGUUUGGACCGUCUCUCCCUCCGAGCUGCCAGGGGCCGCUCUGCCCCCCCGGCCCCCCAAAGGCUCUCCUCCCCAUUGCACGCACAUGGACGCACGGCCUCUCUGGGACCAGGCUCCCCCCCCCCUCACAUUGAGACUGUUAUUUAACGUGUCCUUGUGUUUAUGGCCAUCCAGUGGCCCACAAGAGAGCCGGUGAGGUAUAUUCUCGUGCACGCACACACAUUUUUUUACACUUAACAAGCGCACGGCGGCCGGAGAAUAUUGUCGAUUUCUUUCAACUUGGCGAUUAAGAACGUGUACACAUGUGUGCGUUUGUGACGCUCUUUUUCCCCACAGUGACUUUUAUUAAGUUGGCUGUCCGCUGUGCGUCUGCAGAACCUGUCUUUGUGUUUGACAUCUGCUGGGAGCAACGCUGGAAUACGUGACCUCCAGGCGCGCAGACAGAACGUAACCAUGGUGGAGACCAGGAUCAGAUCACACUCCGGCUGUCAGAGUCACGACCCCAACUGGAUCAGAGUGAAACCCGUGAAAUAGAACCGGCGCUUUCAGCGUCAGAACCCCAAACCAAAUCUGUCACUCAAACGGCAAACGGAGACCCAGGAAAGGCAGGAGGAGCAAAUGGGAAAGAGAGGAAUUCCUAGAUAGAAAAAUAAGAUAUGCGACCUGGAUCGAUGUCCAGAAGAGGGCCAUUAUACAGACCAGCAGAGAAGACAUCUUCUUGGUGCUGAAGCUUUAAAGGAGAAAAUAGUGGGGAAGCAGCCAAAAAGCCACACAGGCGACUGGAGAUGUAAGACAAGCAGCGGAUGCUGGACGAAAUGGGAAUGAGGAAUAAACCGAUAAAGAAAAACAAAAGGAUCCAGAUACUUUGAUUGUGGCUUCGGGAUGAUUAGUAUGCAAUGUAAUGUCAUGAUAUAGUGUGUCAUAAAAAAACUCAUAAAAAGUCAUAGUAAAGCAUGCAAUAAUAUUUUUGUGAAAAUCUCAUAAAAUAGCAGCUCAUGAAACAUGUCAUAAUAUAUGAUAAAUCUUUGAAAUAAUGCCAUAGCAAUAUCUUCGAAAUGUAAUGAAUAUCAUCAUGAAAAAGUCAUAGAAAUCAUAGCAUGGUUUGUCAUACUUUUAUCUUGUAUGUAUCUGGACUUUUAUCCAAUUUUCAACCUCAUAUAUUUAGGCUUUUUCUUCUAUUACAUUUUUCGACCUAAUAUAUUUUGACUUCAUCUUCCAUAAAAAUGUUUGACCUGAUGUAUUUAAAAUUUCCUUUCCAUAAGAUUGUUUGACCUAAUAUAUUUUUUUACAUAAAUUAUUUAUGCUUUUUCCAUGGCCUUUUUUGACCUAAUGUUUUUUUUAUUUUUUUUCCCAUGAUAUUUUUCAAUCUAAUGUACCAUGACUUUUUUUCUGCACACUUUUUGACCUAAG